CUACGGGGGGCAGCAGUGGGGAAUAUUGGACAAUGGGGGAAACCCUGAUCCAGCAAUGCCGCGUGUGUGAAGGAGGCCUGCGGGUUGUAAAGCACUUUCGGUUGGGAGGACUGCUUCUAGCACUAAUAUUGUUGGAAGUUGACGUUACCUUCAGAAGAAGCACCGGCUAACUCCGUGCCAGCAGCCGCGGUAAUACGGAGGGUGCACGCGUUAAUCGGAAUUACUGGGCGUAAAGCGCGCGUAGGCGGCUAGAUCAGUCGGGUGUGAAAGCCCCGGGCUUAACCUGGGAACUGCAUCCGAUACUGUCUAGCUUGAGUACAGGAGAGGAGAGUGGAAUUCCACAUGUAGCGGUGAUAUGCGUAGAUAUGUGGAGGAACACCAAUGGCGAAGGCAGCUCUCUGGCCUGAUACUGACGCUGAGGUGCGAAAGCGUGGGGAGCAAACAGGAUUAGAUACCCCCGUAGUC
Molecule: ribosomal RNA, 465 nt
Filed under: uncultured bacterium
Lineage: Bacteria
Description: partial 16S ribosomal RNA
Rfam family: Bacterial small subunit ribosomal RNA
Source: RNAcentral